Molecule: ribosomal RNA, 119 nt
Filed under: Pteropus alecto (black flying fox)
Lineage: Eukaryota; Metazoa; Chordata; Mammalia; Chiroptera; Pteropodidae
Source: RNAcentral
GUCUACAGUCAUGGCACCUUGAACAUGCCCAAUCUCAUCUGAUCUCAGAAGCUAAGCAGGGUCGGGCCUGGUUAGUACUUGGGUGGGAGACUACCUAGGAACACCAGGUACUGUGGGCG